RNAcentral lists this long non-coding RNA (1734 nucleotides) under Canis lupus familiaris (dog). RNAcentral describes it as "lncRNA (ENSCAFG00030012197.1)". The record is from RNAcentral. Lineage: Eukaryota; Metazoa; Chordata; Mammalia; Carnivora; Canidae.
AUGGGAAGCUUUUUAUUGCUGUUCUUUAUUGUCUUUGUUUGUGUAUGUUGGAUAUUGUGGUGUUUUAGAUCACUGAGUGUACAGAAGAGAGAAUUCAAACUAAAUAUUGCUUUUCUUCAGUUUUGUUUGUGGAAUUUGAAAUUACUCAAAUUUAAAAUAAAUUACUGGACUGUGGGAAAAAAAUCAAAUGUCCAGUGUUCAAAAAAAAAAAACAAAACAAAAACAAAAACAAAAGGCAUGCAAAGAAGCAGGAAAGUAUGGCACAUUAAAAGAAAAAAGAAACUACAGUAACUGUCCCUACAAAAGCAUUGAUGGCAGAUACACUAAAAGAGGACUUUAAAAGAACUGUCUUAAAGUGCUCAAGCAACUAAAGGAGAGUGUAAAGAAAGUUGAGAAAAUAAUGUAUAAGCAAUGAAAUGGAAAUAUCAAUACAGAGAGAGAAAACCCAAUAAAGGAACUAAAAUAAAUUCUAGAGUUGUAAAGAAUAAUAAAUAAAAUGAAAAUCCAUGAGGGUGAUUUUUAGACAGAUUUGAGGAGAUUCCAUGAGGGUGAUUUUUAGACAGAUUUGAGGAGACAGAAGAAAGAAUCAAUGAACUUGAAGAUAGUACAAUGGAAAUUACCAAGUCAAAGGAACAGAAAGAAAAAGAACCAAAGAAAAGUGAACAAAGACUAAGGAACUUGUGAUAAUACUGUCAAGUGGGUUAACAUAUGCAUCAUGGUUGUCCUAGAAGAGGAAGAUAAAGAAAAGAGAAGAGAGAGAAAAUUUGAAGAAAUGAUCACUGAAAAUGUCCCAAAUUUGAUGAAAUACAUGAAUAUAAACAUCCAAGAACUCAGCAAACUCUAAGUAAGAUGAACUGAGAGUCACAUCAUGGUGCAUUAUAAUCAAGCUUUCAAAAGACAGAAACAAAGAGAGCUUUUUGAAAGCAGCAAGAAAGAAGCAAAUCUCCACAAAGAGGGGAUCAUCAGCAGAAUUCUCAUUGGAGGUUCUGAAGGCCAAAAGAAAAUAUGAUGAUAUAUUCAAAACACAAAAAAGAAAAAAAAUAAUCAACCAAGUAUCAUAUACCUGACAAAAUUGUCUUUCUUUUUUUUUUUAAGAUUUUAUUUAUUUAUUCAUGAGAGACAGAGAGAGAGAGAGAGAGGCAGAGACACAAGCAGAGAGAGAAGCAGGCUCUAUGCAGGGAGUUCAACAUGGGACUAGAUCCCGGGACUCCAGGAUCAUGCCCCGGGCCAAAAGGAGGCACUCAACUGCUGAGCCACCUAGGAGUCCCCAAAAUUAUCUUUUAAAAGGCAAAGUGAAAAUAAGAAAGCCUCAGAUAAAAAAUGAGAGAGUUUGUAAGCUUGCCUUGCAAAAUAAGCUAAAGCGUGUCCUUCAAGGGAAAAUGAAAGUACCCUAGAUAGUAACUUGUGGAAGAAUCAAAAUUCUAGGAAAGAUAAAUGUAUGGACAAUUAUAAAAGCUAGUGUCAUUGUAAUAAUGGUUAGUUACAGUACUUUUUUUUUGUUUUCUACAUGAUUAAAGACACUACUACAUUUAAACACAAAAAAAAUAGUAGUCUAAAAACUAAUGUUAUUGUACUUGGAGUUUAUUACUUCAAAUCUUGGGUAUUUUUUGCAAAAUUUAAGAGAUUAAUGCAUUUAAAACCAUUAGUUUGCAUUUUUGAAUAUACAAUUAUAAAAAAAUGUAAUUUUGUUGCAUCAACAUCCAAAAGUGUAGAGACAGAACAGUAAAGGAACAG